GUGCCGAAAGCCUCUCACCGGCCAGUCCUCCAGCUCUUGCUCCUGUGCUGUGGGUCGGACCUGUACCUUCACACCCGCCAACCCCAUCAUGGGUACCUGCCAGUAAUAGCAAUAUUACUAUUUUUUAUGACAUCGGCUCAUGCUCAUCAAUUGAACCGGAAGUAGUGAUUGGACAGCAGACGAGGUGCAAUGAGGCAAAAACGAAGACGGGAAAUGAAUUGUUUGACUUCUGCUACGUAUUGAACGUCGUUUCCAGCUACCGGACGACCAGCAUGGCACUAGGCGCCAUCUGGUGGAAUCGUCGUGUCUUAGACAAAAAAUAAACAGUCAAACUG
Long non-coding RNA from Aplysia californica (California sea hare), 335 nucleotides. RefSeq lists it as uncharacterized. The transcript is spliced from 2 exons. NCBI's taxonomy places the organism in Eukaryota, Metazoa, Mollusca, Gastropoda, Aplysiida, Aplysiidae. The record is from RefSeq and is a predicted model, not a curated record.